RNAcentral lists this ribosomal RNA (301 nucleotides) under uncultured bacterium. RNAcentral's name for it is "partial 16S ribosomal RNA". It matches the Rfam family "Bacterial small subunit ribosomal RNA", at positions 509 to 807 of the family's 1533-position model. The record is from RNAcentral.
CAGCCGCCACGGUAAUACGAAGGGGGCUAGCGUUGCUCGGAAUGACUGGGCGUAAAGGGCGCGUAGGCGGUUUUGACAGUCAGAUGUGAAAUUCCUGGGCUUAACCUGGGGGCUGCAUUUGAGACGUCAAGACUAGAGUGUGAGAGAGGGUUGUGGAAUUCCCAGUGUAGAGGUGAAAUUCGUAGAUAUUGGGAAGAACACCGGCGGCGAAGGCGGCAACCUGGCUCAUUACUGACGCUGAGGCGCGAAAGCGUGGUGAGCAAACAGGAUUAGAUACCCCCGUAGUCCCUGUCUCUUAUAC